UCUAAUGCAGGAAAGUGCACCUGUGCACAGCAAAGAGCAACACUUGGCUGCUGCAGGGUGCUGCCCUGCCUCAAGACAUUCCCAUCUGGGAAUACAUGCAGAGCUGGGGGGAAUGUUACGGAUUGCUGAGCAUUAAAUCACUGCAUUCCCAAGACACUGAGUGAUCUGAAUGUGCAUAGCGGGGGGCUUUCCAAGGUGUGUGGUGUUGAUGGAUGGGGUAACCAGCACUGACAACAAACUCGGGCUCUUUAUAAAGGAAACUUGAGAAUUCUUGUAAUUGUCACAGAAACAUUUUGUAACUGUGGAGAGAGCAAUUUCUGUCUCUUCCCACAAAUAGGCUAUUUCAGAAUUCAGUCCUGAUUUCCCCUGAAAUUAAACAAAGGGACCAGAACAAGCUUUUGUCUGAUGCCACCAAGACCAUAUGUCCUGGUAUUGAUUCAGACACUCUUUCUUAUGGCUUCUGCUUUUCUCUAGCUUGUGAGCUUGUGAUUUAGAUUAUACCUGAGGUUUUAAGCUUUUAUAAUUUUGGAUUUUUUCUUGGUCACAGAAGAGUUUAGGUUGGAAAAGACACUUAAGGUCAUUAAGUCCAACUGUAAACCUACACUGCCAAGUCCACCACUAAACCAUGUCCCCAGGUGCCCCAUGUGCAGGUCUUUUGAGUACCUCUGGGGAUGGUGGCUCAACCACUUCCCUGGAGAGCCUUUUCCAGUGCUUACAACCCUCUUGGUGAUGAAAUUUUUCCUGACAUCCAGUCUAACCCUCCUGUGGCACAAUACUAUUUGUUGCAGCAUUCCACCAUUUGGGAGUGAUUUGAAAUCAGGUAGAAAAAUGCUUAACCAGGUACAGGUAAAUACCCUAAACAAACCAAUGAAUGCUUAGAGUCUCCCCCUUGUUCUGCCUCUGCCAGGUGUGCAUUUGUGGCUGCUACUUGAGCAGUGAGGCCACUGGAACAGUGAAUAUGCCAGAUUCAUUUGUGUGCACAAUGUACCAGUGGAAAACCAGCAGUGAAGCUCUACUGUCUCUUCCUCCCGAUAGAAAUGCCUCCCUCCUUCCCUGUAAACACAGAUUUUAUGGAGCAGUAGCCUGGGCUCAGCAGCCUGUGUCCCAGCCUGUUAGAGGCAUCGGUCUGCUCAGUCUUCCUGGAAAAGAGGCCACUUGCACCGAGAAAGGACUUGCACCACAAUGUACAUAAUUAUCAACACUAAAGCAGUUCUGCCAUUCCAGUGGGAGCGCACAGAUCUCAAGAAACAGCAGAAGCCCAAGCUAACUAGGUGUAGUUUGCUGCAUGCUGCUAAUUAUUACCUGUGGUUAAUAUAAAAUUCUCUCCUUAAAACUGUACAUAUUUGAGCAAUGAACUUGUCAUAAUAAUUGUAGAAAACAGUUUACAGUAUAGCUGUGUGAGAUGAGCACCAGAAAAAAUGUGUUUUGUGUACUAAAGUAUUCCCUUAUAUCCAGUAAGCCCCAUUUUUACCAUAACUGACUGUAUUAAAAAUGGAUAUGUAGCCCACUAGCUAAUGCAUGGCUAAACCAAAAGUAUUUAAAAGCUUUUUUAGUUUAAAAAAAUUAUCUUUGCAUUUUAAAAUCAAAGUAAACUCUUCUUUUUUUUUUUUUUUUUUUUAAUGUCUUAGUACCUUAGCAUUGUUCAAGUUGCCAAGCUUAGGUAGACAAAGUGCUUUUGAAACACUAUUUAAAAAAAAAUAUCUUUCUCUCUAUUUUAUUGUCCUUUUCUAGGACUUGACUGGAUGAGCAAAAUCCAGAGGUCUUUGUACUUCCCAUAUGUUAAAAAGUAAGCUUAUUUUAACACCAGGUAACUUCAAUACAUACAUGAAUGAAAACGUCCUCCCCGUUGCCGAAGAACAUUUGACUACAUCAUUGACAUUUUGUUAUAAAGGCAUUAACUGUUUAACUGAUAAAAUAAAGACACCAUUCUCUUAGAUAGCACCAUGGUUUUAGGAUAUUCAAACAAA
Long non-coding RNA from Corvus hawaiiensis (hawaiian crow), 1967 nucleotides. RefSeq lists it as uncharacterized. NCBI's taxonomy places the organism in Eukaryota, Metazoa, Chordata, Aves, Passeriformes, Corvidae. The transcript has 2 exons. The record is from RefSeq and is a predicted model, not a curated record.